This 561-nucleotide ribosomal RNA is filed under the name Triticum aestivum (bread wheat). Its description in RNAcentral is "partial small subunit ribosomal RNA". Lineage: Eukaryota; Viridiplantae; Streptophyta; Magnoliopsida; Poales; Poaceae. The record is from RNAcentral.
AUGUGUGUACCCAAAAAUCAAGGGGGCAUGGGGUUCCGGGAUAUUCAUUGUUUCAACCUAGCAAUGCUGGCAAAACAAGCAUGGCGUAUUAUUGAGAAUCCAGAUUCCUUAUGUGCGACCAUGUUGAGAGCUAAAUAUUUCCCAAACGGUGAUUUAUUAAAUACAAAGCUAAAAAAGGGCUCUUCUUUUACUUGGCAACGUAUUAUGGCAGGGGUUAAUUGUCUAAAUCUUGGUUAUAUUUGGCGUGUUGGAAAUGGUCACAACAUUGAUGUUUGUGAAGAUGCUUGGAUUCCUAGUUGUGCAAAUAGAAAAGUAAUCACACCGAGAGGGAGUAAUUUGAUCUCAAGGGUAUCUGAUUUAAUUGAUCCUGCUACUAGUAAUUGGGACGAAAAUCUAGUUACACAAAUGUUCUGGCCAGUUGAUGCACAAAGGGUCCUUGCAAUUCCUUUGUCACAACAUGAUAUGUCAGAUUUUGUCGCUUGGAGCUAUUCAAAGAAUGGAACUUUUCUGUUCGAUCAGCCUAUGCAGUGCAAUGGGAACACCAACACGGGAGGAAAUUAA